GACGGAGGGUGCAAGCGUUGUUCGGAUUGACUGGGCGUAAAGGGCGUGUAGGCGGUUGGUCGAGUCCGAUGUGAAAGGCCCGGGGCUCAGCUUCGGAAGUGCAUCGGAAACUAGCCAGCUGGAGCGCGAUAGAGGAGGGCGGAAUUCCUGGAUGUAGCGGUGAAAUGCGUAGAUAUCAGGAGGAACACCGGCGGCCGAAGGCGGCCCUCUGGAUCGUUGCUGACGCUGGAGACGCGAAAGCGUGGGGAGCAAACAGG
This 257-nucleotide ribosomal RNA is filed under the name uncultured bacterium. Its description in RNAcentral is "partial 16S ribosomal RNA". It matches the Rfam family "Bacterial small subunit ribosomal RNA", at positions 524 to 776 of the family's 1533-position model. The record is from RNAcentral.